GUUUCUCCGUGUAUAUCUCUCAAUUUUGCUUGAUUGUUUUCGAUCAUUGUUACCGCUUAUUAGUUUGGGAUUAUAGCAUCCACUUUUGAUUACACUUUUUGCUGCAAUUUUUCUUUCAUUUCAGUGAUUUACAUAUUUUUGGUUGCCUUCAGUUUUCUCGGCCAGCUUUAUGCUAUUGUCGUUGUGUUGUUAGACUUUGAUUUUUAAUUUUUUGCUUCUACUUUGUCGAGUCCUUGUGAAAAUUAUUUCCCCCCGCAUAGAAAUAGUAUUUUACAUAUCGACCCUUUCUUUACUCAACUGAGGCCAAACUAGAUAAACGUCAUCGAAAAAUAGCAAACUAGAUACUUUAUCAGGAUAUGACUAUUGCGCAAUUUCUUGUCGCAGAUAUCAAUAAUAAUGGGCUCAUAAGAAAAUCUGAUGAACUUUGAUGAUUCAACCAGAGCGGAUAGUGACUAAACACAUGGAUCGCUUUGUCUCCUACUCCUCUAUUAAAGCUUGCUGCUCUGUCUGAAACUGAUUUCCAUUAUCAAGACAAGGGUUCUCCCAUUGGCUAUGUGGUAUAUGUUUCAUCGAACAUGCAGGUGGCGCAUAAAUUCCACCCGCGAGAGAGCAGAGACCAAGCUAUGCACUUUUAAAUUGUAAUUUCGCAAGAUGAAAAUCAAUUCUUGAUCUCAACGAUACUUUGAGUUUGAUGAUGUAGCGGCAUUUCAUGCUUUACUCUAUUAGCAUUUCAUGCUUAACUCAACAAGAUAUUUCAGUUAUUUUUAUGUAGCUACUAUCAGCAAAAUGUUUCAUUGAAUAAAUGUUUCACAUUUCACUUG
Long non-coding RNA from Capsicum annuum, 821 nucleotides. RefSeq lists it as uncharacterized. The record is from RefSeq and is a predicted model, not a curated record. The transcript is spliced from 4 exons. Lineage: Eukaryota; Viridiplantae; Streptophyta; Magnoliopsida; Solanales; Solanaceae.